UAAAAAGUAUGGGUUCACAAUUUUAGGAAGUCAGAAUGGAUGUAAGAGACUAGAAAACCAAAGGAAAAAAAAAUAGAAGAGUAUGAACUUCUUCACACCUUAAACUUUGAUUCCAUCCACCAAUGUCUGAGGGUAAUGGUGAAAACUCAAGGAGGAAACAUACUUCCUUUGUUUUUUUUAAAGGAGCAGAUUCAGCAGUUUUUCCCAGGGUUAAAAAAAAAAAAACAUGAAAUUGAGCUUUAGCUCAUGUGGAAUGUAAUGCAAUGGAUGGGUAUAAGACACUGUGUGUGGCCUUCAAAGAAAUUACUCCAGAUGACUAUGAAAUAAUUAAGACAGUUUAUGGAGGCAAAUAUGGCCUUAUAAGACAGAGAAAAAAGACAGAAAAGGUUUUUGAUUAUAUUGAGACAAACAUGAAUUUAAUUUGAGCCACUGCAGUGGAAGACAAGCUACAAGAUCAAGCUGCAGAGACCAGUGAAACUCUGCAUGCAGUCGGCCUGAAAGUCUGGGUGCUUACUGGGGCCAAGAUGGAGAGAGCCAAAUCCACAUGCUAUGCCUGUUACCUUUUCCAAACUUGCACUGAGCUCUUAGAAUUGACCACAAAAUCUCUUGAAGAACGUGAAAGGAAAGAAGAUCGAUUCCAUGAAUUGUUGUUAGAAUAUCGGAAGAAGUUGCUGCAUGAAUUUUCUAAAAGUACUAGAAGCCUUAAAAAAGCAUAGACAGAACAUCAAGAAUAUGGAUUAAUCAUUGAUGAUUCCACAUUCUCAUUCAUACUAAAUUCUAGUCAGGACUCUAGUUCAAACAAUUAUGAAAGCAUUUUCCUACAAAUUUGUAUGAAGUGCAUUGCAGUGCUUUGCUGCUGGAAGGCACUGUUAGAGAAAGCCCAGAUUGUCAGAAUGGUGAAGAAUUAAAAGGCAGCCCAAUAACACUGUCCAUCAGUGAUGGUGCCAACAAUGUUAGCAUGAUCUUGGAAUCCCAUGUGGGCAUAGGUAUUAAAGGCAAAGAAGGUAGCCGAGCAGCCAGGAACAGCGAUUAUUCUGUUCCCAGGUUUAAACAUUUAAAGAAACUAUUAUUGGCUCACGGAUAUCUAUACUAUGUGAGAAUAGCACAUCUUGUAC
This 1115-nucleotide long non-coding RNA is filed under the name Marmota monax (woodchuck). Lineage: Eukaryota; Metazoa; Chordata; Mammalia; Rodentia; Sciuridae. The record is from RNAcentral.